GAUGAAGAACGCAGCGAAAUGCGAUAAGUAAUGUGAAUUGCAGAAUUCAGUGAAUCAUCGAAUCUUUGAACGCACAUUGCGCCCGGUAGUAUUCUGCCGGGCAUGCCUGUUCGAGCGUCAUUUCAACCAUCAAGCCCCAGCGCUUGUGUUGGGGGCCUGCGGCUGCCGCAGCCCCCUAAAAGCAGUGGCGGGCUCGCUAUCACACCGAGUGCAGUAGUUCAUCUUCUCUCCGGUCUUGUGAGGCGGGUUCCGGCCGUGAAACACCCCACUACAUUCUAGGUUGACCUCGGAUCAGGUAGGAAUACCCGCUGAACUUAAGCAUAUCAAUAAGCGGAGGA
Molecule: unclassified non-coding RNA, 338 nt
Filed under: soil metagenome
Description: partial contains 5.8S ribosomal RNA, internal transcribed spacer 2, and large subunit ribosomal RNA
Rfam family: 5.8S ribosomal RNA (bases 1-120)
Source: RNAcentral